This 252-nucleotide ribosomal RNA is filed under the name uncultured Pseudomonas sp. RNAcentral describes it as "partial 16S ribosomal RNA". It matches the Rfam family "Bacterial small subunit ribosomal RNA", at positions 103 to 354 of the family's 1533-position model. Lineage: Bacteria; Pseudomonadati; Pseudomonadota; Gammaproteobacteria; Pseudomonadales; Pseudomonadaceae. The record is from RNAcentral.
CGGGUGAGUAAUGCCUAGGAAUCUGCCUGGUAGGUGGGGGACGAACGUUUCGAAAGGAACGCUAAUACCGCAUACGUCCUACGGGAGAAAGCAGGGGACCGUUCGGGCCUUGCGCUAUCAGAUGAGCCUAGGUCGGAUUAGCUAGUUGGUGAGGUAAUGGCUCACCAAGGCGACGAUCCGUAACUGGUCUGAGAGGAUGAUCAGUCACACUGAACUGAGACACGGUCCAGACUCCUACGGGAGGCAGCAGAU